UACGGAGGGUGCGAGCGUUGUCCGGAAUCACUGGGCGUAAAGGGCGCGUAGGCGGGCCUGAUAAGUAGGGGGUGAAAUCCUGCGGCUUAACCGCAGGGCUGCCUUCUAAACUGUCAGGCUUGGAGCACAGUAGAGGCAGGUGGAAUUCCCGGUGUAGGCGGUGGGAUGCGUAGAGAUCGGGAAGAACAUCAGUGGCGAAGGCGGCCUGCUGGGCUGUUGCUGACGCUGAGGCGCGACAGCGUGGGGAGCAAACAGG
RNAcentral lists this ribosomal RNA (256 nucleotides) under uncultured bacterium. Its description in RNAcentral is "partial 16S ribosomal RNA". It matches the Rfam family "Bacterial small subunit ribosomal RNA", at positions 524 to 776 of the family's 1533-position model. The record is from RNAcentral.